GAAAGCACUCACUUUUUUUUUCCGAGGAAGAGAGAAGGAAUCAUCAUAUGAACUUGUCCCAAAGACCAAUGAGCAUGUGUGAAGUCAAUGUCUUCUUGCUACAAGGAAAACAAAAUACAUAAGCAAUUAAGCAUCACUUUCUGAACCUACUGCUACUACUUCCUUUACCUUCAUUGCAAACAAUCAUCCACUACUUUCCUUGUUUUCUUUCUUCUAAUCUUGAGAUCAACAUGGCUGCAAGAUUUGUGGGAGAAGCUUUUCUCAACUCUGCACUUGGCACUAUCUACGACAUGCUGAUUUCACCCUUACUUGUCAACUUCAUCCAGCGAAAGAAGCUUAACCGGAAGCUGGUUGAGAAGCUGGAGACAGUUCUGAAGGCUGCUCAUGCUGUGAUCAAUGACGCCGAGCGGAGGCAGAUCGAAGAGGAAGCUGUGAAGGACUGGCUGGACAGGCUGAAGUAUGCUGUGUACGAUGCUGAAGACAUACUUGAUGAAGUCACCACCAAAGCUGCCAUUCAAAAGGUUCAAGGUAACUCUCUGUCUCGCUAUGUCAAUUUGCAUGGUGAUGGUGAGAUAGUAACCAAGAUAGAAGAGAUCAUUGAUGCAUUAGAGUCAAUUGUAAAUGAGAAAGAUGGUCUUGGCUUGAAGGAGAUACCGGUGGAGGACAUGUCAUGGAGGAUCCCCUCAACAUCUCUGGUUGGUGUGCAUCAAAUAUAUGGCAGGGACCAAGACAGGGAGGCCAUAGUAAAACUGUUGUUAGAUGUUACCAAUGACGGUGGAAUAUCCGUGAUUACUAUGGUCGGCAUGGGUGGAAUAGGAAAGACUACUUUGGCUCAGAUAGUUUACAAUGAUGACCGAGUGAAACAAAAAUUUGAUGUUAAGGCAUGGGUUUGUGAUGGGCAAGAAGAAUUUGACGUUCUUAAGGUGACAAAGGCUGUGAUGGAAGCAACUUCUAGUUCUUGCAGCUCAACUGAGUUAAACACAAUUCAGGAGAGCUUGAAGAAAGUCCUAGCAGGGAAGAAGUUGUUGGUUGUUUUGGAUGACAUGUGGAGAAACAAUUAUGAUGCCUGGAUAAGUUUUCUAAAGCCUUUUAAAUCUAGUAACGGGGGUGUUAAGAUUCUUGUAACAACUCGUCUUGAUUCGAUUGCUGAUAUGGUGAAAACUAUUCCAACUUUCCGUUUGAGUUUGUUGGGUGAUGAUCACUGCUGGUCAGUGUUUGCAGAUCAUGCAUGUCUUAAUUCUGUUGAAUCCCAUAUCCGUUCUGCUUUAGAAGUAGUUGGUCGAAAAAUUGUCAAAAAGUGUAAUGGGUUAGCUUUGGCUGCUCAAACACUUGGAGGUUUAUUAAGAGCAAGAAAAGAAGUAGCGGAUUGGGAGUUUAUAUUGAGGAGUGAAAUUUGGGAACUUCCCAAAAAAGAUAGUGGGAUUCUUCCUGCAUUGAGAAUCAGUUAUCACUACCUCCCCUCGUACUUAAAACGUUGCUUUGUUUAUUGUUCUUUAUUCCCAAAAGACAAUGAAUUCAAAAGAGAUGAACUGGUGUUAUUGUGGAUGGCAGAAGGUCUUUUGCAGCGACCAAAGAGUGGCAGCACUUUAGAAGAAGUUGGUUCUAAAUAUUUUAAUGAUUUGGUUUCCAGAUCAUUUUUCCAACAUUCUAACACUGAUGAAAAUUUAUUUGUGAUGCACGAUCUCAUGCAUGAUUUAGCAAUAUUCUACGGUGGAAAGUUCUUUUUGAGAAACUUUGAACUCAAAACUGCAGACAAGCAUGAUGCUUGUCCUCGUCAUUUUUCAAAUGGUCUUGUAAUCGAUGAUUCGUUAUUCUCAGAGAUUUCGGAAGUACGUGAUUGUUUAAAAAAUACAAGGACAUUGCUGGAUAUCAGUUUUAAAACAUGCAAUGGUUACACAGAGGAAAUUGAUCCUUGUCGCUUACUUGCACAGUUGAAGCACGUACGGGUUUUGUCAUUUAAAUCCCUUCCUCCUGAUGAGCUUGAUUCAAUAGGUGAUUUGAUCCAUUUGCGUUAUUUGGAUCUCUCUUAUUCAUCUAUCGAGACAUUGCCAGAGUCAAUGUGCAAAUUUUAUAAUUUACAAACACUGAAGUUGAAUGAUCGUGAUCGUCUAGAAAAGCUUCCAAACAACAUGCAGGAUCUUGUAAAUUUACGUCAUUUGGAUCUCUCUGGUACGUCUAUUGUGGAAUUACCCGAGUCAUUGAGCAAAUUGUAUAAUUUACAAACAUUAAACUUGAGUGCUUGUGAAGAACUAAAAAAGCUUCCAAGCAAGAUGCAAGAUCUUGUAAAUCUGCGCCAUCUCGACAUUGAAGAUACUAAUUUAGAAGAGAUGCCAAAAGGGAUGAGCAAAUUAAAAGAUUUGCAGAUUCUGAGUUACUACAUUGUUGGCGAGCAUGAAGAGAAUGGGGUAGGAGAAUUGGGAGAACUUGUAAAUCUUCAAGGGUCAUUUCAUAUUAGGAAAUUAGAGAAUGUCGUUAAUAGCAGUGAGGCUUGGAAAGCAAGGAUGUUUGAUAAGAAACACAUCAAUGAUCUAAGGUUGCAGUGGAGAUCAGUUGAAUAUGGUGAUAUUGUUGAUUCCGAAAUCGAAAAAGAUGUACUUGACAAAUUACGUCCUCACAAAGACUUGAAGAAGCUAUUCAUCUGGUGUUACAGAGGUACGAUGUUUCCGGAUUGGGUAGGGCAGUGUUCGUACCACAACAUGACUUGGUUGGAGCUGAGGGGAUGCAGGAAUUGUUGGGUGGUUCCUUCACUUGGACAGUUACCCUCUCUGGAGAGGCUGGUCAUUAGAGAGCUCGACAAGGUGAAGAAGAUUGGUGGGUCAUUCUAUAAGGGUGAUGGAACUCAUCAGCAUCAGGAGACACCCUUCCGAUCCCUUAAAUAUCUGACUAUUGAAAAACUGCCUUGCUGGGAGGAAUGGGAGUCAUAUGAAUGUGAUGAUGAUGAUGAUGCACCAUUUCCGAAACUUGAGACACUUGAGAUAUGGGAUUGUCCUAAGUUAAGAGGAGAUUUGCCCACUUUCCUUCCGUCUUUGAAACAAAUUUACAUUUCAGGAUGCGAGGAGAUUGGUUGUUAUCUGCCAAGAGCUCCCAUCCUACGCUCAUUAAGAAUAGAUGGCAAACAGGAAGCAAGAAUGCGGGAGCUACCACUUUCCAUGUUGGAGACACUAAUCGUUAAUGGAGAGCAGCAGGUGGAGUAUGUGUUUGAGGCCAUGACCCACACCCAACCAACCUCUCUCAGUUCUUUACAAAUCUCAAAAUGCUCAUCAGUGGUAUCAUUUCCAGGGGAUGCUUUGCCCCCUUCGUUGAAACAGUUGAGCAUAUACGAUUGCAAGAACGUAGAAUUCCCAAUGCAACACCAUCAACAUCACUCGCUACAGAGAUUAGAAAUACACAACAGCUGCAAUUCGCUUACAUUCUUCGCAUUGCCAGCGUUCCCAAAUCUCGAUUAUCUUAGCAUCAAAGAACUUGAAAAUUUGACAUCUCUGGAGCUGUCACAGUCACAGUCCCUCCUAAGAUUAUCAAUUUCAGAUUGCCCUAAGCUGGAGAACAUAAUAAGGCUGCCUGCCUGUUUAAGGGAACUCAAAAUCAGAGAAUGUGGGUUGUUGGGUGAAGGCAUAGAGAGGAAGGACCCCCACAUUUGGCCAUCCAUUUCCCACACCCCUACAUUUAAAGUUGACGGGAAACAGAUUCGCAAUGACUCAACAUCUUAAAACAGGAACCAUCUCAGAAGGAGUAUGCAUGAUUCUGCCCUUGACAAUUGGUAAUUUUGUGGACAAAUUUGUGAUUUUAGGAUAAAAAGCUUUUUUGGGCUGCCUGGACCAACUUCCUCUUGCUCUUUGCUUAUCCAUACUGCUUUUCGCCCGUUUUAAAUUGAGAAUUGUUGCUAGGGUACAUCAAACAUGUCACCCAUUCCACCAUAUGGCUCUAUCAAUUCAGAUUCCACUUGGAUGGAAGGAAAUAGGAGAUGUGUAACCACUGAGCAGCCCUUUCUCUCUCUCUUUUGAACGUUGGGAAUAACCUACAAACUUUGUGCAUUCAGAUUUGUUCAUAAAAUUGAUAAUUUUGACUGCUUAGCUGAGUCCAUUACUGAGAUACUCUAUGCCAUUUGAUUUAGAAUUAUGUUUUUCUAUCUUUUUUUUGCCAAGUAGAUUACUUUUCUGUAUGACUAAGUGGCUUUGGUUGAUUCAGUACUCUGUCACACCAUGGGAUUUAUAGCAAUAAUUGAGUAAAUUCAAGUUCCUUUUUGGCAA
Arachis ipaensis is the source of this 4247-nucleotide non-coding RNA. NCBI's taxonomy places the organism in Eukaryota, Viridiplantae, Streptophyta, Magnoliopsida, Fabales, Fabaceae. The record is from RefSeq and is a predicted model, not a curated record.